GAUGAACGCUGGCGGCGUGCCUAAUACAUGCAAGUCGAGCGAACAGACGAGGAGCUUGCUCCUCUGACGUUAGCGGCGGACGGGUGAGUAACACGUGGAUAACCUACCUAUAAGACUGGGAUAACUUCGGGAAACCGGAGCUAAUACCGGAUAACAUAUUGAACCGCAUGGUUCAACAGUGAAAGACGGUCUUGCUGUCACUUAUAGAUGGAUCCGCGCCGCAUUAGCUAGUUGGUAAGGUAACGGCUUACCAAGGCAACGAUGCGUAGCCGACCUGAGAGGGUGAUCGGCCACACUGGAACUGAGACACGGUCCAGACUCCUACGGGAGGCAGCAGUAGGGAAUCUUCCGCAAUGGGCGAAAGCCUGACGGAGCAACGCCGCGUGAGUGAUGAAGGUCUUCGGAUCGUAAAACUCUGUUAUUAGGGAAGAACAAAUGUGUAAGUAACUAUGCACGUCUUGACGGUACCUAAUCAGAAAGCCACGGCUAACUACGUG
Molecule: ribosomal RNA, 497 nt
Filed under: uncultured bacterium
Lineage: Bacteria
Description: partial 16S ribosomal RNA
Rfam family: Bacterial small subunit ribosomal RNA
Source: RNAcentral